RNAcentral lists this ribosomal RNA (782 nucleotides) under uncultured Tomentella. RNAcentral's name for it is "eukaryotic LSU rRNA". The stretch from base 184 to 338 matches the Rfam family "5.8S ribosomal RNA". Lineage: Eukaryota; Fungi; Basidiomycota; Agaricomycetes; Thelephorales; Thelephoraceae. The record is from RNAcentral.
UCUCCAACCUUUGGGGGCAUGUGCACGCUCUGUUCACAAUCCACUCACACCCUGAUGCACCCCUCUGUAGUUCUGUGGCUUGGGGGCCCUGCCCUCCCGCUGUGGUCCUACGUCUUUAUACACACACACACACUGUAAUGAAGUCUAAUGGAAUGUAUGCCGCGCUCUAACGCGACAAAAUACAACUUUCAGCAACGGAUCUCUUGGCUCUCGCAUCGAUGAAGAACGCAGCGAAAUGCGAUAAGUAAUGUGAAUUGCAGAAUUCAGUGAAUCAUCGAAUCUUUGAACGCACCUUGCGCCCUUUGGCCAUUCCGAAGGGCAUGCCUGUUUGAGUAUCGUGAACACCUCAACUCCUCAUGGCUUGCCAUGAUGAGCUUGGACUUUUGGGGGUCUUGCUGGCCUGUGUGGGUUGGCUCCUCUCAAAUGAAUCAGCUCGCCAGUGUUUGGUGGCACCAUGGGUGUGAUAAGCCGUCUAACGCUUGUGGUCUUUCACCAAAUAACCUUCCAGCGAUGGGGGUUCGGCUGGGGCUUCAUUGACGUCUCUCCUAAAGCGAGGACAUCUCUCCGAACCGUUGAUCUCAAAUCAGGUAGGACUACCCGCUGAACUUAAGCAUAUCAAUAAGCGGAGGAAAAGAAACUAACAAGGAUUCCCCUAGUAACUGCGAGUGAAGCGGGAAGAGCUCAAAUUUAAAAUCUGGCGUGCCUCCGGCCGUCCGAGUUGUAGUCUGGAGAAGCGUUUUCCGUGUUGGACCGUGUAUAGUCUCUUGGAACAAGGCGUCAUA